UUUAGGAUUUGGUUUAGGGUUUAAGAUUUGAUUGGGGUUUGAUUUAAGGUUUGUUUAGGAUUUAGGAUUUGGUUUAGGAUUUAGGAUUUUAUUAGGGUUUAAGAUAUAAUUAGUUUUGGCCUAAAGUUUGAAUGAAGUCCAAUAGGAUUUUAACUAGAAUUAAAUUAAGAUUGAAUUGAGAUGUAUUUGAGUGAUAUUUGUGAUCCUUCUAAUAUUUCUUUAAGAAUUCUUAUUAUUGUUUGAAAUUUCUUUGAGGUUUUUUUGAAUUUAAUUAAGCUUGCUUAGAAUUAUUAUGGUCUAAUUAGAGUAUUGUUAGUAUUAUAUUAGAAUUAGAAUUUUGUUAUUACAAUUUCCAUUCUUCUUUCCACAGUCAGGUGCUUGGAGCAUUCUCAAGCAAGACUUCUCUUAUUAUGACAACGCU
RNAcentral lists this long non-coding RNA (421 nucleotides) under Physcomitrium patens. RNAcentral's name for it is "long non-coding RNA (PPAT_LNC003575)". Lineage: Eukaryota; Viridiplantae; Streptophyta; Bryopsida; Funariales; Funariaceae. The record is from RNAcentral.